AUGGUUGUUUUCAUUUGAACUUUGCUUGGUUUGCCUUAGCUUGGCCUAUACAAUCAGAUGCUGACAUAAAAGGGGUGUUAUAGCUUAAUCUCAGGGCCCCUCAGCAACCAGCUCCCUGGGGGAAAGGGCUGGGCCUUUUACCUCUACAUCUCCCUGUUUCCUCUUCAGAAAAUAUGCCCAGAAAAUCUUAUCAUCUCAACCUCCCUCUUUCCUUGUGGAAUUCUACCCUUUGUCCUAGAGGGAAAAAUUGCUAUACCUACCCACAGGUAACAGCAGCCCUUAUCCUGACUUCUCAUUAUACAUCCGCCGCAUACCCCUCACCGAUUGAAGUCUGCUCCUUCCCCUGUCCCCCACCAAAGACAAUCUGUAUUCUAUCUUCUCCAUAGAAAAUAGCUAAUAAUUUCCCCCAUAGCCUCCCCCCACAAAUGAAUUAAUUUACUAUUGACUUCUCCCUCCAGUUCUGUCCUUUGUGGAGUGAAUUGAGGCAUUUUCAAAAACACCUACAUUAUUUAGGAUUGUGGGUCCCAUGGAAGAGCAAUGAGUCUUGUACUUCUGAAUCACUGAGGUACUCUUGAAAAUCCUAUCCCUUAACUCUUUUCUGGGAUUCACAGGGUAGUGGGUGAAGGGCUGCCCCACUAGCUCCUCACUAAGGAAACCUCCCUAUGGAUUGCAUACUCAGUGUAUUCUGUAGGGGCAAAGGGUAAUGGACUCCAGCAAGUGAACUUAGAGCUAUGUAAGGGAGCAAUUACCUCCAUACUGGAUUCAUUCAGUGUAAUACAGUGGUUCACAAACUGCUUCGCAGGAUCACUAGUGUUUCACAGAGCACAUACUAAUGGCCUUCAGAAAGGUGACUGGUCACAUUGUGCUUUUUCUCCUUGUUAGCAGGCAGUACAUCAAAAGCACAGAAAUACAUUAAAAAUUUUCCUAUGUUACUUUCCCAUGUAAGCAAGUAAGUUACUGUGACUAUGAACAGGAGGUGAGGUGUCCAUGAGACAAUCUUUUGAUUGAGAUAUGGUCUACAAUAGUCUGAAAACUGCUGGUAACACAUAAAGAGAUUUUUGCACUUUCAUAGUGCCUGUGUAUUUGAAUACCACAAAAUCAUGCACUCAGGUUUUUGAGCAACCAUCAAUUUGCAAGUAGAGAAGCUCUGUUCUGCAUGCCAUUGUGCUAGGUGAGCAAGGCUGCUCUCCUUCCUUGUGUCCCAGCUGGUGGGAAGUGAUUUCUAUAAUACACCAUUUUGUACUAUGUAUAAUAUAUAUUGACUUCUUACCACAUCUCCAAUCCUGUUCCUUUGUCAAGUGAAUUGAGACAUUUUCAAAAACACCUACAUUAUUUAGGAUUAUUUAUAUAUAAUAUAAAUUAUUAUUUUAAGGACAUGGCCAUCAGGCCUUCUUCUGUUAAAAGAAGGCUUCUUUCCUGAAGGGGCUUCUUAGUUGUUGCUUGCCCAUUAUCGGUCUCUGAUAUUGACCCAGAUGUUUUUAAUUUACUUCCCCAAACACACAAUUGCUUUUUAAAAUUUUGCAGAAAGGCAGAGAUUUUUAUCAGAUCUGUCUAUCCACUGCCCCCAUUUAGGAGACAUUUUUAAUGGGUUUGGGUCAAUAUGCUCCAUGCCUUGUGGUUAAGACAGAAGAUCAUGGUUCUAUUUCCAGCCCUUCCACCAACUUCCCAUGUAACCAUGGUUAAGGCACUUAACCUGUCCGUGCCUUAGUUUCCUCAUCUGUAAAUGAGGAUGAUGUCUCAUUCACAGUGUGUAAAGAGCUUUGAGAUCCUCAGUUAGAAAAUGCUGAUGAAGUGCAAAGCGUUACUGUAAAAAUGUGGUAUAGAAAUUAGUUUUGUGCUGAAACUGACAGAAACCACAGGGCAACUGGAAAGAUGGGGAAGAUCAGAAACCAGAGUUUAUGCCAAGGUGAAGGGAGAUGUGGGGGUGAAGGACCACACUGGAUCCCCAACUCCUGGAUAGGAAUUCCCUCCAGUUGUGAAAUUCUCUUUACCAGAUCACAGUGGAUGGAGUUUAAUUCCUGCUUCAUCCAUUCAUUAAAGAGGGGAUAAAGCCAGGUGCUCUUCUCUAGCUUCCAUGGCUUUCUCUAUGGAGAGACACCUGAUAAAUCAUCAGAAGUUAAUGAUCAAAAAGCUUAUCUCAGGGUCUUUUCGUUUAUAAAUUUAUAAGACAAAAGAGAAAUAAUAAAGCCAUUGGAUAAUUAGUAACUAGCCAGGGCCCGCCCGGUGCAACUGGAGCUCAAACUGCCCCAAGAUCUCUACACAGGCUUAGGGAGAAGAGAGAGAGAAGGAGAUGGGUAAAAGCAAUGUGAAAGAGAGACAGACAGACAUAGAAAUAGGGUGAUGAGAGACAGAGAGAAGUGGGGGGGGGGGGAUAGGAAAGGAGGAUCUGAGGAAAACAGAUAUAGAACAGGGGAGUUGGAAACAGCAAAGGUGUAAGAAAGAGGGAGGGGGACAAAAUGAAAAGGCAGAGAAGGGAAAGGGGUUUAUUGGAUGGAAAAGAAGAUUGAAUUAUGGGGAGCAUCUUUCCUCUCAGGGAAGAGGUGAAGGAAAGAGAAAUAAAGGAACGGAGAGCAAGAAGGGGAAAGGAAAACCAUGUCCUUACUGUAAUAGUCUCUCCACCACAGCCUUCUGAUGACUGCUCCAGAAAGCACCUCCUCCCCUUGGCACAGGGCAGAAUACACAAGUAAAGUUAACAUGGCUAACCUGAGGUCCUGGAACACAGCUUCAGCCUGGUUAAAGGCACAGCAUACUGUAGUCUGAGCCCCAGUUAUGGAAACCAACGUACCAAAAGGUUAAAUGACUUUUCCAGGGUCAUGUAGGAAACUUGUUGCAGAGCCAUGAAUAGAGGCCAGCUCUCCAAGCCUUAACCACAAGAUCAUCCUCCUUCCUGCCAUUUGGGACUCCUUUGAGUUCAGAUGCUUAACAAAAAUAUGAACUGACACUGACCAUAUAAAGAUUGCUGCUCAUGUUGAGGACUUGAAGUCUUGUGUGACACUGUCCAAUGACCUGCUCUGGCUGAGGUUUGGAGCAGAGCUGGUCGGGUCUUGAGAAAGCUAUCUCCACUUCUUAUUCAUCAAAGCAAAGGUGAUUGUGACCCACCGUCUUUAAAUGUGCAGGAGACAGCAAAGGAAUAAAGAGAUACAGCUUCUUAAUGCACCCAGAAACCAUCUCCCAGCUAGUCCUGGUCCCCCUUGCAACCUUCAGACAUGGAAAAUUUCAGAAUGGCUGCAUCUGAAGGCCAGUUGGAACCAAAGGACUUACUACUUGUAAUCUUUCAGAGUGGACAGGACAGUGUACUGCAUGGGAGUUGUCUUAAAGUGUUGAAUUGCUGGCAUUUCCUGACAGACUUUUGGAACAAGGGUUACAUGUCAGCUGUUUGUGCAAACUGUGAACACCUCACUGGAUGGAAGGAGUACCAAAAUACAUUAUUAUUAAGGGAUUAUGAUGGGAAAUUAGUUUGUAGUAGAGCAGGAGAGUAAACAGCUACUUUUUGGUAGGUACCAAACCUGGAGCCUUGUCCUCAGCAGAGCAAUGUCUUGCCUCUUUAAUUCCCCUCGCCACGUGGUGCAGGGAGUAGUUAAGAUCAAGAAAACAGGUGUUUUGAUGCCCUUCCCUGGACAUUUAAAAUUAGACUGGACAAAGAACUAGAAAGUAUGGUAUGGGGAAUGACCCUGCACUGGUCUUAGGGAGAUGGAGGGGAUGAACUACAAGUCUUAUUUAUCUCUAAUUUCCUCUCUCUCUAGAGGAUGAGGAGGAGGAUGUGCACACAAGUAUGCCAUCCUUUCAUUCUUUGACCUGCCUGGAUAAAUAGAGGUAGGAGCACACAUUUAAACCAUCUACAAUGUUGAGAUUCAUAUUAAGAUCUUGAAUGCAGAAGAACCCAUUGCAGCUCUGAGAUAAAUUCUAAGACUGGAAUACUGAUUUUUGCCUUCUUUCCCUGCUCAUUUCCAUCCUCUCUGCUCCCCCCAAACCUCUGAAGAACUGACAACCAUUCCUGUCAUGUCUCUGUCUGCAAGGUGGUCAUUUCACACUAGGCCACUCUGUUUUUAUCUCUCUAUUUCCAUCAGUGAGGAAUCAGAACUGGGUCUGUUAGACUGACAUCUGAUAAAAGCCAAGCUUUGUGGCUGAUGGGGGAGGGCUCUUUGCUGUCAGUGGUGCCAUCUGAUUCCCCUCUACCACCCGUUCUCUCCCAUGCUGUUACCUUUCUGUGCCCUGGGAGCUACUUAUGCAACCCGGGACAAAGAAGGAUCUUAUUUGUUUGCUGCCAGCACUGAAAUGGCUCUGACAGGUCUAGGCACUGCAGCAGUGUAUGUUCAAGGUGCGGUGCAGUGCAGUGCAGCUCACUUGAAGAGAGACUGUAAUGUCAGACUCUGAUAUCACUGAAACUCAGAGUAAGGCUCUCCAUCUCUUGCAGGUCUGAGGAGAUUCUGUGAAAGAGAGAGAUAUGAUAAGAAAAUAAUUUGGGGAAUGCAAGCAAUGCCCCACCCCACACUGCUAAGAGUGAGUGCGUGCUGGAUCUGCAGAAAGGAAUAAACCUGCCCUGUGAACUGGUCUCAUUGUUACUGUGUAAUGCUGUUGGAGCAUGCCUGCAAAAUCAUCAUGAAUGUUUACUAGCCUAGGCACAAAGUCUACUUGCCUGCUUUUACCAUGUUGCUGCUGAAAAUCUAAUGAUACGUUAAUUGCCCAUCAGAUAAAAUCAGUUGUGCCUCAAACUAAUGUGGUAAGUAGAGUUUUUCCAGGCUGUAGAAUUAGAAACCAUUUCAUCAUGGGUGGUCAGCAUGCAUGCUGCUGUUCUAUGGAUACCAGAAUUGUUUUAUGCCCCAUUCCCAGAAGAGUCCAGGAAACUAAUCUGAAGAACUGAAAAGUACUUGAAGUAUUGAUUUACACUCCCCUCUGAUAGUGGAAAAGAGCAGGAGAUUGUGCUCUACUGGUUUGUAAAGACUUGUGAAAAUAAAUUGUUUGAACAAA
This is a long non-coding RNA of Terrapene triunguis (Three-toed box turtle), 4968 nucleotides long. RefSeq lists it as uncharacterized. NCBI's taxonomy places the organism in Eukaryota, Metazoa, Chordata, Testudines, Emydidae. The record is from RefSeq and is a predicted model, not a curated record. The transcript has 7 exons.